CCUCCGUUCAAGUUUCUACAACACUAGCUAAACAUUUCAGUGCUCACACCUGUGCUGAAGACACUUCUCAUUUUAUCUCAAACGUUUGGCCUUUGAUUUGUAUGUCCAACACCUUAGAAUGAAACACUGACCUAUUAAACUCAUAUAAUGUGCUAUGCAUCUCCAAAUCCUUUGUCAGGGUACAGACUACAUUUUAAUUGAGCAAGACUGAAGUAAAAUGUAGCAAAAUGACAAUGAGUUAUCUUAAAUUAGGGGUAAAUGACAUGAGAAAUUAAGAAUAUUAGAAGUGUGGAGUGAUAUGUGUAUCAGUAUGUUAGCUGCAGGAAGGGGGCUGUCCUUGACACGUCCCUUUACUCAGACAGGAUGACAGGUAGGGAAGGGGGUAGCCGAUGAUCUGCUCCAGUAUCUUCAGCACUGAAGCUUCUGCUGCUCUUCUUCAGUUUGAUCUGAGAGCCAGACCAUGAUGCAGUUGGACUGGCUGAGCGGUAGGUUGCCAGCAGCUUCAGACGUGCUGAUGUGCCUUGUUGAUAACGUCCUGGAUGUUAGGAAACCAAGUUAGAUCAGCUGAGAUGGGGAUGCCCAGGAAAGGGAAGCUGUGAACCCUCCUCUAUGCCUACUAAAGUCCAAGAUGACUUUCAUGGUCUUUUAUUUGCCGAUCAGCCUUACACUAUACAGUUUCCGCACUUGUCUACAAAGUUCACCUCAGUGACCUUUCAUAAGUCUUUGUUAUUGGCAAGUUAAUUACUUAUAUCCAAGACAUGGAGAUGUGGGUCCAGUAUGAGCAGGAUUUGGGAAAUGGCAGUUGCCAAGAACUCACAUGAAGUUUCAAGGUUUUUGCCUUUAUUUGGAGGAAAAAAAGUUGUUGUCCUUUGUUUGUUGUGCAGAAUUGCAAACCUAGAAAGAAAUCAACUUGAAAGAAUUUAUAUAAAUGUAUUUGCCCUUCUUUUGACCCUUCUACAUCAUGAAUAUUUGGUGGCUGUUGCUUGGCGACUGUGAGAUCUCUCCAUAGGAUUGACAUGGGCUGGGCCUCUCAAUGACCUUGAUAUGAUUGUUCUUCAGCCAUUCCUUGGUUGCCUUGGCUGUAAGUUCUAGGUCACUAACCUGUUGGAAGACCCAUCCAUGACUGAUUUGAAGGGUCCUGACUUAAGGAGGGUAGGAAGUUCUCACUCAAGAUUUUCCAUUAAUGGCUCCAUCAACGUGGUGACGUAGCUCUGUGCAGAAAAAUAGCCACAAAGCAUAAUGCUUCCACCUCCAUGUUUGACAGUGGGGAAGCUGUUCUUGGGGUCAUAGGUAGCAAUUCUCUUCCUCCAAACCCAAUGGUUGAGUCGAUGCCAAAGAGCUCAGUUUUGAGCCAAACAUUCCAUUAUGCAGAAUAAAAUGAUAAAGCAAACCCUAUUUUUCAGUGUGUGAUUUUCAUUUUUUCAUAAAUCUUAGGACAAUUUAGAUGAUAAAAGUAACAAAUAUAUGAAAACAGUAUAAUACAGUAAAUAUGUAAAUAUUUGAUGUGAUGAACAAUGUUUAUCUGAUUUAGACCCAACAUGAAAUAUUUUUUGACACACACAAAUCAAGUUGUGUUAUCUAAUGCUCGUAAUUUAGACACAAAUGAUAGAAAUGUUAGGUUUAUAUGCCAAAGAGGCCAUGUGAAAAUUUUAGUGCAAAUACGCAUGCGUGCGCGCCGUGCACAUAAAGCCACCCCACCCCCACGUGUCCGCGCGCCGGUCGGGGGGUGUUGGGCGUCAAUAAAGGUAAUCUGGUUGUCGCGCUUUCUGCAUCUCUGCGCGAGCUAAAGAAGUCUCAAAGAUGAAUGCAGCUGUUGUUGUUAUUACUGUGUGACGGAGGAGCGGUGCUGAAAAAUACGGCCUCCAUCGAGAGACUGAACGUAACACGACUGCAGGCUGACUCUGCCACGAGGCUCGACAACUUCUUGCAUCAACUGUGAUCGCUGUGGCCGCCAAAACAUCCAAAUGUAAGGCGGGCUACAAAGAUUUCAGGCCAAAAGAGAACGCCUCACAUGUGAUGAAGUGUCUGUAUUGGUUGGAAAAACCAGCAGCCUUCCAGUGCUUCAGCCGUCCAACCAUCAACCGUUUCAGACAUCCAUCCUCCCACCACUUCAGCCCCACAGCCGUCCACCAGUGUGCCAACUUCGGACAUUUUACUAUCCUGGGGGGGGUCAUGGCCUCUACGCUGGAUCCCAAAAAAGAGACAAAAAAACCCCGACCUCAACCCCCACUCUUAGUCAGACAUGUUUAUUUUUUUAUUUACAAUAAUAAAUAAUAUACUAUGUACAUUUA
Long non-coding RNA from Oryzias latipes (Japanese medaka), 2291 nucleotides. RefSeq lists it as uncharacterized. The record is from RefSeq and is a predicted model, not a curated record. Lineage: Eukaryota; Metazoa; Chordata; Actinopteri; Beloniformes; Adrianichthyidae.